CGGGAGCGGACGGUGUAGAUGGUGUGGAUGAACCACUCCCGACCUGCAGCCACCUGGAACAUCCAGACACAGUGGAGCUUGAGUUUACAGCUGACCUGGAAGAGAGGCGAGGAGGACAGGGCGAAUCCGUCUGAACCAGGCUGUCUGACCAGAGGCAGGCCUCCAGGAGUGUCCAGGGCCAGAGUGGCACCAAACAACACAUCUCCAAACGCUGUGGCCUGGGUCUCUGGCUGAGCCUUGUCCUGAGGAGGAAAACACACACCGCAGAGACGGGGUCACUCUUCCUGGAGCGGACGGUCACUGUGGCCGUCUUGGAGAGGAAGAGACCUGUCACCCCACUCAUCCCUUCAUCAUCCUCCCCUCAUCGAGGCCAGACAGUGUCGUCUGAACUCAGUGCCAGAGGUCUACAGUGCACACCUGAAAAGCCAGAGCGUUCUUGAAGUUGUAAACAAACCAUCACCCCCAUCUCAGAUCACAGCUACACAACUAAAACAGAAAUGGAGGCUGAAAACCAUCAAACAGGAGCCAGAGGAAAAACAUGCCUGUCAUUUGACAUUCCUCUCCCACAAAUCCCUGUUUCCCCACCUGCCUCUUGGCCCCUGCAACACAAAGGGAAGCCCUCUGUUUUCCCCCAGAUCCACUGAGUGGUGGAGCUGGAGGAGUGUCUCAGAACAAAACACGUUCAGAGAGCUCUUUUAUGUGUCAUGACAGAGGGUUGUCCAGUGUAGUUAAGACUGGAGUUUCUAUUCUAUUCUAUUUUCUCUCUUCCCAGUUCUACCACCUGUUACUAGAAGUAUAGGAUAGAACAGAUGGAGUGUGUAGUCAGGGGUAGAGCGAGAGGAGGGAGCAGGGAGGAGGGGAAAGACCCGGCAAAGAGAGGGGAGUCAAGACAAACAUGUGGGGAGAGGUGCUUUUGUCUUGGGUUGAGUGUGUUUGUGUGCCACUGUCUGUCUGUCUGUGGCUUUGCGGAAUGGUACCAUCCAUGAGUGGACCU
This is a long non-coding RNA of Oncorhynchus masou masou (cherry salmon), 994 nucleotides long. RefSeq lists it as uncharacterized. The transcript is spliced from 5 exons. Lineage: Eukaryota; Metazoa; Chordata; Actinopteri; Salmoniformes; Salmonidae. The record is from RefSeq and is a predicted model, not a curated record.